GAUGAAGAACGCAGCGAAAUGCGAUAAGUAAUGUGAAUUGCAGAAUUCAGUGAAUCAUCGAAUCUUUGAACGCAUCUUGCGCUCCUUGGUAUUCUGAGGAGCAUGCCUGUUUGAGUGUCAUUAAAUUCUCAACUACACUGACUUUGAAUUGGUGUGGCUUGGAUUUGGGGGGAAAAUUGCUGUGGGCUUUUUGUAUAGUCUGCUCCCCUGAAAUUGAUUAGCGGUACCUUUGUGGAACUGUCUACAGGUGUGAUAAUUAUCUACAUCUUAGACAUCUGCUGGAAUGCUGCUUUCUAAACCUUACUUGUAUUGACAAUCUUGACCUCAAAUCAGGUAGGACUACCCGCUGAACUUAAGCAUAUCAAUAAGCGGAGGA
This 376-nucleotide unclassified non-coding RNA is filed under the name soil metagenome. Its description in RNAcentral is "partial contains 5.8S ribosomal RNA, internal transcribed spacer 2, and large subunit ribosomal RNA". The stretch from base 1 to 120 matches the Rfam family "5.8S ribosomal RNA", at positions 35 to 154 of the family's 154-position model. The record is from RNAcentral.